This 57-nucleotide transfer RNA is filed under the name Candidatus Woesebacteria bacterium RIFCSPHIGHO2_02_FULL_39_13. RNAcentral describes it as "tRNA-Gly". It matches the Rfam family "tRNA", at positions 8 to 62 of the family's 71-position model. Rfam says of the family: Transfer RNA (tRNA) molecules are approximately 80 nucleotides in length. Their secondary structure includes four short double-helical elements and three loops (D, anti-codon, and T loops). The record is from RNAcentral. Lineage: Bacteria; Candidatus Woeseibacteriota.
UAGCUCAGUUGGUAGAGCGUCUCGUUGCCAACGAGAAGGUCGCGGGUUCGAAUCCCG